Molecule: ribosomal RNA, 649 nt
Filed under: uncultured Porphyromonadaceae bacterium
Lineage: Bacteria; Pseudomonadati; Bacteroidota; Bacteroidia; Bacteroidales; Porphyromonadaceae
Description: bacterial SSU rRNA
Rfam family: Bacterial small subunit ribosomal RNA
Source: RNAcentral
UAAAAGUAGCAAUACUUUUGGUGGCGACCGGCGCACGGGUGAGUAACGCGUAUGCAACCUACCUAUCAGAGGGGAAUAACCCGGCGAAAGUCGGACUAAUACCGCAUAAAACAGGGACACCGCAUGGUGAUAUUUGUUAAAGAAAUUCGCUGAUAGAUGGGCAUGCGUUCCAUUAGGUAGUUGGUGAGGUAACGGCUCACCAAGCCGACGAUGGAUAGGGGAACUGAGAGGUUGGUCCCCCACACUGGUACUGAGACACGGACCAGACUCCUACGGGAGGCAGCAGUGAGGAAUAUUGGUCAAUGGGCGAGAGCCUGAACCAGCCAAGUCGCGUGAAGGAAGAAGGAUCUAUGGUUCGUAGACUUCUUUUGCAGGGGAAUAAAGUGCAGGACGUGUCCUGUUUUGUAUGUACCCUGAGAAUAAGGAUCGGCUAACUCCGUGCCAGCAGCCGCGGUAAUACGGAGGAUCCGAGCGUUAUCCGGAUUUAUUGGGUUUAAAGGGUGCGUAGGUGGUUUGAUAAGUCAGCGGUGAAAGUUUGCAGCUUAACUGUAAAAAUGCCGUUGAAACUGUCGGACUUGAGUGUAAAUGAGGUAGGCGGAAUGCGUGGUGUAGCGGUGAAAUGCUUAGAUAUCACGAAGAACUCCGAUUG